AAGGGUAUAGCUAAGUGAUAGAGUGCAUGCCAAGCAUGCAUGAAGUCUUGGGUUCAAUUCCUAGUACCUCCA
This 72-nucleotide transfer RNA is filed under the name Camelus dromedarius (Arabian camel). It matches the Rfam family "tRNA". From Rfam's summary of the family: Transfer RNA (tRNA) molecules are approximately 80 nucleotides in length. Their secondary structure includes four short double-helical elements and three loops (D, anti-codon, and T loops). RNAcentral also lists the same sequence under 1 other name. Lineage: Eukaryota; Metazoa; Chordata; Mammalia; Artiodactyla; Camelidae. The record is from Rfam by way of RNAcentral.